Molecule: transfer RNA, 77 nt
Filed under: Staphylococcus warneri L37603
Lineage: Bacteria; Bacillati; Bacillota; Bacilli; Caryophanales; Staphylococcaceae
Description: tRNA-Arg
Rfam family: tRNA
About the family: Transfer RNA (tRNA) molecules are approximately 80 nucleotides in length.
Source: RNAcentral
UCCCCUUGUAGUGUAAUGGAUAACACAUAAGAUUCCGGUUCUUAGAAUAGGGGUUCGAUUCCCUUCGAGGGGACUAA